This 500-nucleotide ribosomal RNA is filed under the name uncultured bacterium. Its description in RNAcentral is "partial 16S ribosomal RNA". It matches the Rfam family "Bacterial small subunit ribosomal RNA", at positions 29 to 523 of the family's 1533-position model. The record is from RNAcentral.
AUUGAACGCUGGCGGCAUGCCUUACACAUGCAAGUCGAACGGCAGCACGGGAGCAAUCCUGGUGGCGAGUGGCGAACGGGUGAGUAAAGUAUCGGAACGUGCCCAGUCGGGGGGGAUAACGUAGCGAAAGUUACGCUAAUACCGCAUACGAUCUAUGGAUGAAAGCGGGGGAUCGGAAGACCUCGCGCGAUUGGAGCGGCCGAUAUCAGAUUAGGUAGGUGGUGGGGUAAAGGCUAACCAAGCCGACGAUCUGUAGCUGGUCUGAGAGGACGACCAGCCACACUGGGACUGAGACACGGCCCAGACUCCUACGGGAGGCAGCAGUGGGGAAUUUUGGACAAUGGGCGAAAGCCUGAUCCAGCCAUGCCGCGUGCAGGAUGAAGGCCUUCGGGUUGUAAACUGCUUUUGUACGGAACGAAAAGGUUUGGGCUAAUAAGCUGAGCUCAUGACGGUACCGUAAGAAUAAGCACCGGCUAACUACGUGCCAGCCGCCGCAGUAA